AAAAUCCGUUGGUUUCACAAGACCGUGAGGGUUCAACUCCCUCUAUCCCUA
This 51-nucleotide transfer RNA is filed under the name Hymenasplenium unilaterale. Its description in RNAcentral is "partial tRNA-Leu". Lineage: Eukaryota; Viridiplantae; Streptophyta; Polypodiopsida; Polypodiales; Aspleniaceae. The record is from RNAcentral.